This 402-nucleotide ribosomal RNA is filed under the name uncultured bacterium. Its description in RNAcentral is "bacterial SSU rRNA". It matches the Rfam family "Bacterial small subunit ribosomal RNA", at positions 29 to 454 of the family's 1533-position model. The record is from RNAcentral.
AACGAACGCUGGCGGCAGGCCUAAACAUGCAAGUUGAACGGUUGUAGCAAUACAACGAGUAGCGGACGGGUGAGUAAUGUAUGGGAACAUGUCCUUUAGUGGGGAAUAGCUUCUGGAAACGGGAGGUAAUACCGCAUAAGACCUGAGGGUGAAAGCAUUUAUGCGCUAAAGGGUUGGCCCAUAUCAGAUUAGCUAGUUGGUUAGGUAAAAGCUGACCAAGGCGACGAUCUGUAGCUGGUUUGAGAGGAUGAUCAGCCACAUUGGGACUGAGACACGGCCCAAACUCCUACGGGAGGCAGCAGUUAGGAAUAUUGGACAAUGGGGGCAACCCUGAUCCAGCCAUGCCGCGUGAGUGAAGAAGGCCUUCGGGUUGUAAAGCUCUUUGGAUGGAGAUGAUGACGG